This 1406-nucleotide ribosomal RNA is filed under the name uncultured bacterium. Its description in RNAcentral is "16S ribosomal RNA". It matches the Rfam family "Bacterial small subunit ribosomal RNA". The record is from RNAcentral.
GAUGAACGCUGGCGGCGUGCCUAAUACAUGCAAGUCGAGCGGCAGCACGAGUAGUUUACUACUUGGUGGCGAGCGGCGAACGGCUGAGUAACGCGUAGGAAUCUACCCCAAAGUGAGGGAUAACUCCGGGAAACCGGAGCUAAUACCGCAUGUGGUCUUCGGAUUAAAGCUUUAGUGCUUUGGGAAGAGUCUGCGUUCGAUUAGCUUGUUGGUGAGGUAAAAGCUCACCAAGGCGACGAUCGAUAGCUGGUCUGAGAGGAUGAUCAGCCAGACUGGAACUGAGACACGGUCCAGACUCCUACGGGAGGCAGCAGUAAGGAAUCUUCCACAAUGGGGCGAAAGCCUGAUGGAGCAACGCCGCGUGCAGGAUGAAGGCCCUCGGGUCGUAAAACUGCUUUUUAUAUGUGAAGAAUAUGACGGUAGCAUAUGAAUUAAGGAUCGGCUAACUACGUGCCAGCAGCCGCGGUCCAUACGUAAGGAUCCGAGCGUUAUCCGGAGUGACUGGGCGUAAAGAGUUGCGUAGGUGGUAGUUAAAGCAAAUAGUGAAAUCAAGUGGCUCAACCAUUUGGCUAUUAUUUGAACUGAAUUACUUGAGAGCAGGAGAGGUAGAUGGAAUUUCCAGUGUAGGAGUGAAAUCCGUAGAUAUUGGAAGGAACACCGAUGGCGUAGGCAGUCUACUGGCCUGUUUCUGACACUGAGGCACGAAAGCGUGGGGAGCGAACCGGAUUUAGAUACCCGGGUAGUCCACGCCGUAAACUAUGGAUGCUAGCUGUGUGUCGUAUCGACCCGAUGCGUGAGCGAAGCUAACGCGUUAAGCAUCCCGCCUGGGGAGUACGGUCGCAAGAUUAAAACUUCAAAGGAAUAGACGGGGACCCGCACAAGCGGUGGAGCGUGUUGUUUAAUUGGAUGCUAAGCCAAGAACCUUACCAAGAUUUGACAUCCUGGGAAUUACUUCGAAAGAAGUGAGUGCCUUCGGGAACCCAGUGACAGGUGUUGCAUGGCCGUCGUCAGCUCGUGUCGUGAGAUGUUAGGUUAAGUCCUUCAACGAGCGCAACCCUUAUGAUUAGUUGGAUUUUUCUAGUCAGACUGCCCCGGUAACGGGGAGGAAGGAGGGGAUGAUGUCAGGUCAGUAUUACCCUUACAUCUUGGGCUACAAACGCGCUACAAUGGCCGGUACAAAGGGCAGCAAAGUCGCGAGACGGAGCUAAUCUCAUCAAAGCCGGUCCCAGUUCGGAUUGCAGGCUGAAACUCGCCUGCAUGAAGCCGGAAUCGCUAGUAAUCGCAGGUCAGCACACUGCGGUGAAUACGUUCCCGGGUCUUGUACUCACCGCCCGUCAAACCAUGAAAGUCACCAACACCCGAAGUUCUAACUUGUUUAGGCCUAAGGUGGGGGGGAUGAUUGGGGU